This 305-nucleotide ribosomal RNA is filed under the name uncultured bacterium. Its description in RNAcentral is "bacterial SSU rRNA". It matches the Rfam family "Bacterial small subunit ribosomal RNA", at positions 333 to 655 of the family's 1533-position model. The record is from RNAcentral.
UUGGUCCUACGGGACGCAGCAGUGGGGAAUAUUGCACAAUGGGGGAAACCCUGAUGCAGCAACGCCGCGUGAAGGAAGACGGUUUUCGGAUUGUAAACUUCUGUUCUUAGUGAAGAAAAUGACGGGAGCUAAGGAGCAAGCCACGGCUAACUACGUGCCAGCAGCCGCGGUAAUACGUAGGUGGCAAGCGUUGUCCGGAAUUACUGGGUGUAAAGGGAGCGCAGGCGGGAAGCCAAGUCAGCUGUGAAAACUACGGGCUUAACUUGUAGACUGUAGUUGAAACUGGUUUUCUUGAGUGAAGUAGG